This 580-nucleotide long non-coding RNA is filed under the name Pogona vitticeps (central bearded dragon). RNAcentral describes it as "lncRNA (ENSPVIG00000006891.1)". The record is from RNAcentral. Lineage: Eukaryota; Metazoa; Chordata; Lepidosauria; Squamata; Agamidae.
AUUUUUUCCCUGGGUUUAGAUCCCUUGUUUUCAGAAAUGUGGUUGCAAAUAAUGAGGGCUAGAAAGUUAUUUCCUGGUAAGAGGAAGCUUGGCUCCACAGUUUUCCCAGGUUCCCUCAUGCUUCUGACACAUGCAGAGCUCUUGCCUGUUUCUUAAUAGUAUGCAGCAGCCGGAGUCAGGCUACUUCAUCCUAUUGAGCCAUAGGUUCCCAUAAGAAGGAAGGUUCUCCCAGAGGAUGGUCAAAUAAACAGAACCCUCAUCUGGAUUCUAGAAUGUUAAAUAUAUUGUUGGGUAUAGAUACUCCUGACCAUGAGAAGCAUGGAACCUACUGCAGCAUUUAUCACAGAAGAAGUGGAAAUCAGGAGUCCUGUACUUUUCAAUAUAUCAUAAGUGAGGAACCACUUUCCAUAUCUUGUUGGACUCCAACCCCAUCAGCUCCAGUUAGCAUGCAUGGCCAAUGGUAGGUAAUGGUUGUAGACCUGCCAUAUCUGAAGGAGUGGUUUCCUUAUGCUAUCAUUUAGUAGGAAUGUAUUGCCUGUGGAAUCACCAAGGAUGGUGCAUAAAGAAAGCUUGGAAGAGG